Nanorana parkeri is the source of this 94-nucleotide long non-coding RNA. RefSeq lists it as uncharacterized. Lineage: Eukaryota; Metazoa; Chordata; Amphibia; Anura; Dicroglossidae. The transcript has 3 exons. The record is from RefSeq and is a predicted model, not a curated record.
CUGAUCUUUGACAGCUUCAAUGUCACAGGACGGCUUAAAUUAUGGGGAUGAAUGUUUUUCACUCACCCCAUAAAUCUGCUUUAAAUGAAUUGUA